UGAACACAAAGUCAUCUUGCGACUAACUGUGAAGAUGAAGUUCCUAAUCCUCCUCUUUCUUGUCGGGCUCCUGGCGAUGGAGUCAGCUGUUCAAGGUCAAUAUUACUACCCACCAUACUAUUACAAUUGGCCUUAUCAACACAAUGGUCGGUGGUGGGGUGGUGCUUACUAGGAUCCCAAGGGAGCAACUGCAGCUCAGGCUGCCUUCCCAGAGCAGAACCUUUGUGAUUUCUAAGGUCUGCCUCUGAUCAAUUUAAUCAUAGUUUCUGCUUCUUGGCUCUUUGAGAAUUCACUCCAAUGAUCUGAGUGAAGAAUCAAAGGUGUGGAUAUGAUUGUAGCUCUGGAUCAAUUGUGCCUGUCCACCCAUCAACCAAUCCAACCAUCCAUCCACCCAUCCACCUGUCAAAUCAUCCACCCACCCAACCACCCGUCCAUGCAUCCAUCCAUCCAGCCAUCUAUCUGUCCAUCCAUCUGGAGGAAUCGAUCCAUUCUUGGCUCUGCUGCUUAUGGUCCUCACGGUAAAGAGAUGAUUCUGACACAUCCCCCAGUCCAACGCCACCCGGACAAGCUCUCAGCCAUCACCUUCCUGUCCGUCAGCACCAGAGCUCGGGCCACGCCCUUCGGGGGCUGUGAGAGGCAACAAUCUGUGGACAAGGUGCUCUGCUAACAUCAAUGAGACUGGUUGAGAUACAACAAGACAAGACCAUUCUUAAGCCUGGGAAGAACAGACCAACGCCCUCACUUAGAGUUGGGAGAAAUCCCCUUUAAAUGACCAGAGAAAAUCCCCCCCCCUUCCAAUCUGAUAGAUUUGGGGGUUCCCAAUUCCAUUGGAAUGUGUGGGAAAGCCAGUCUCUCGCCCACGUUCUCAUUCCCUCAUGACUGCCAUGAGGAGCCUCUGCUCUCCUGUGUGUCUCAGGAUGAGGUGCUGUCCAGUGCGGACGGCUUGAGUCCGGUCUCUCUUUCCAAGUCGCUGUAAAGUCUGAGCCGAUCGGCACAAUCUGCAUCUAAUGCUUGUAAUGAGAUAUCCUUUCUCUGCUUCACUGCAGUGUCACUAACCUGGUAAUAAAGAUUCAAAGCAUCACAAAAAA
Long non-coding RNA from Callorhinchus milii (elephant shark), 1088 nucleotides. RefSeq lists it as uncharacterized. Lineage: Eukaryota; Metazoa; Chordata; Chondrichthyes; Chimaeriformes; Callorhinchidae. The record is from RefSeq and is a predicted model, not a curated record. The transcript has 7 exons.